UCGCAAGUCCUUCCAGCGAAGCUGGGUCUGCUGUAUGGCCUUGUCUUUUCCUUGGGAACUUGCUAGAUUAAUAUUUGAAGUGGUUUGAGGCCUCUUUGUUGCUGUCAAAAAGAGGUCAUAGAAUCUUCAGACAGCC
Protopterus annectens (West African lungfish) is the source of this 136-nucleotide small nucleolar RNA. RefSeq annotates it as small nucleolar RNA SNORA9. NCBI's taxonomy places the organism in Eukaryota, Metazoa, Chordata, Ceratodontiformes, Protopteridae. The transcript has a single exon. The record is from RefSeq and is a predicted model, not a curated record.